GUGCUUGCUUUGGCAGCACAUAUACUAAAAUUGGAAGGAUACAGAGAAGAUGAGCAUGGCUUCUGCGCAUUAUGACAUGCAAAUUCAUGAAGCCUUCUAUAUUUUU
Small nuclear RNA from Equus asinus (donkey), 106 nucleotides. The record is from Ensembl. Lineage: Eukaryota; Metazoa; Chordata; Mammalia; Perissodactyla; Equidae.